RNAcentral lists this ribosomal RNA (1536 nucleotides) under Triticum aestivum (bread wheat). Its description in RNAcentral is "partial small subunit ribosomal RNA". Lineage: Eukaryota; Viridiplantae; Streptophyta; Magnoliopsida; Poales; Poaceae. The record is from RNAcentral.
AUGCUCAGAGAAGCUUCCCAUUCUUACUUGGCCGCCACUCUACUCGAAUCCUGCAGCGCCCCUAUAUAUACACUUAUUUGCCAAACACUUUCAUCGUACACUCACUCCCUUCACUGGAACAUCCAAAGCCGAGAAAACAGAGACAUGGACAGCGCGACCUCGUCGUCCGGCGAUGAGCGCGGCGGUGUGCACGUCCUGCUGGUGCCGCUGCCGGCGCAGGGCCACAUGAACCCGAUGCUCCAGCUCGGCCGGCGCCUCGUGUACCACGGCCUGCGCCCCACGCUCGUCGCCACGCGGUACGUGCUCUCCACGGGCCCGCCCCCCGGCGACCCCUUCCGCGUGGCCGCCUUCUCAGACGGGUUCGACGACGGCGGCAUGGCCUCCUGCCCGGACCCCGUCGAGUACUGCCGCAGGGCCGAGGCCGUGGGGUCCGAGACGCUGGCGCAGGUCAUCGCCGCCGAGGCGCGCGCCGGGAGGACGCCGUCCGUGAUGGUCUACGACCCACACAUGGCGUGGGCGCCGCUUGUGGCACGGGCCGCCGGCGUGCCGACCGCCGCGUUCAUGUCGCAGUCGUGCGCCGUGGACCUGAUCUACGGGGAGGCGUGGGCGGGGCGCGCGCCGCUGCCGAUGGCGGACGGGAGCGCGCUGCGUUGCCGGGGCGCGGUGAGCGUGGACCUCGGCCCGGAGGACCUGUCGCCGUUCGUGGUGUCGCCGGGGCUGUACCCCAAGUACCUCGACGUGUCGAUCCGGCAGUUCGAGGGACUAGAGGACGCCGGCGACGUGCUCGUCAACUCCUUCCGUGACCUCGAACCGCAGGAGGCGGAGUAUAUGGAGUCCAGAUGGCGCGCCAAGACAGUCGGCCCGACGCUGCCGUCCUUCUUCCUCGACGACGGCCGCCUGCCGUCGAACAAGGCCUACGGCGUCAACUUCUUCAGCAGCGCCGCGCCGUGCAUGGCAUGGCUGGAUCGGCAGCCUCCUUGCUCAGUAGUCCUCGCGUCUUAUGGGACGGUCUACAGCCUCGACGCCGGUGAGCUUGACGAGCUUGGAAAUGGGCUCUGCGAUUCCGGCAAGCCAUUUCUCUGGGUCGUGAGGUCCAACGAGGCACGGAAGAUAUCUGAAGAGCUCCAUGGCAGGUGCAAGGAAAAUGGAUUAAUUGUGCCUUGGUGUCCCCAGCUUGAGGUUCUCGCGCAUAAGGCCAUAGGUUGUUUCUUGACUCAUUGUGGAUGGAACUCAACGACAGAGGCGCUUGUUGCUGGCGUGCCAAUGGUGGCGAUGCCGAGGUCGGCCGACCAGCCAACCACGGCAAAGUACGUGGAGAGUGCAUGGGGGACCGGCGUGCGGAUGCGGACAGAUGAGAAAGGCUUGGUGAUAAGGGAGGAGGUAGAGAGGUGCAUCAGGAAGGUGAUGGAUGGGGAGGGAAAGGUUGAAUACCGCAAAAAUGCGACAAAAUGGAUGAGGAUGGCCAAAGAGGCAAUGCAGGAAGGAGGGAGUUCCGACAAGAAUAUUGCUGAAUUUGCGGCUAAGUAUUUAUCAUGA